GUGCUCUCCUAGGAGCUGAUUCUGAUUAUGAAAUGGGAGUGAAGGCCUCCUCAGUGACAGGGGGGUCUCAUCCAUUCCCUCAUUACUUGUCUGUGCUUUUCUUGCUAGAGGUGCAUAGAGAAAACUACCAUGGUAAGGAUGGGAAUGAGUGGGGCUAAAGCCUUUAAAUGAAGUGUUUAUAUUUUAAAGGGCUUGAAAUUUAUGUUUAAAGUGCUAUUUCUAAAUGAGAUUACAGAGACCAAAAAUAUAUGAUUUAUA
Molecule: long non-coding RNA, 258 nt
Filed under: Cricetulus griseus (Chinese hamster)
Lineage: Eukaryota; Metazoa; Chordata; Mammalia; Rodentia; Cricetidae
Description: lncRNA (ENSCGRG00000025196.1)
Source: RNAcentral